Molecule: long non-coding RNA, 1080 nt
Filed under: Gossypium barbadense (sea-island cotton)
Lineage: Eukaryota; Viridiplantae; Streptophyta; Magnoliopsida; Malvales; Malvaceae
Description: long non-coding RNA (GBAR_LNC022237)
Source: RNAcentral
AACACCCACCAGUUUGCUAAAAGCUUUAAACAAGCUUCAUCUUUCCCUUGUCUUUGCUUGUAGACGAUUCUGUUAGGUUCACAAUUUCACAAAUCAUACACAAUUCACUAAUAGUCGAAGCACAUUAAAACUCAUGCAUAACACAAGUGAACCGAGGUUCAUACAUGCUAAUCUUUUAUCGAACCUAGUUUCCUUUGUUGCGAACUUUCUUAAUUACUUUUAUAUGUCUAACCCAAUAGAGAAAUAAUGUCUUAACUUUAAUCCUAAAAACUAAAUGUUGGGUUCUUAUUUUCGUAGAAUCUUGACAAAAAGAGAAAUAAGUAAUCGAUGAAGAAAUUUGAGAGAGGUUUGUUGUUCAAAAUAAUGUGGAAUUUUCAAUGACAAAAGCUUAAUUUAUAAGCACUAAUUGUUUUGAAGUUCUUAGGAUACCUUAAUAGACAUAGGAAAGAGUUACGUGCAUGAGUGGUGUUGUGAAGAGGAAAAUAAGUUAACUUCCUAACUUUGGUAUAAUUUCCUUUUGGCUAAUCUUUUUUUUUUACAGUCAAGCCCUUACUUUCACUCUUGAGCCAAACCAACAACCGUAGCUCACCAGGCCCACUGGCAACCCCAGCUAUCCAAGCCCACUAAUGACCCCAACUCACCAGGCCCCAAACUCCUAAGUCCUAUUUUGGGAUGUUACACAAUGAGAAUACAAAACCCAAGUCCCGAAUACAAAGCUCACACCCAAAGCUCUCACUAAAGGGGUUUUACAAUAUUCUCUCAAACUCUCACCAAAACUCUAUAUGCGACUACAUCUUGUCGCCCUCAAAGAAAAGUCAUUGUUGAUUGGUGUGUCUAAAUCAGGUUUACAAAGACCCUUUAAAUAGGCUCAAUACUAAAGGCUAAAAUGGCUAAAAUAACCUUAAAGUAAUCAAAGUUUAAUUGGGAGAAGAAGUCGUUUUGAGUUGUACAAAACAUGGCUGCAUAACAUCAGGAAUCGUUGUGACGUGUCGGCUUUCCUCGUCAUGACAUUUUCGCCACGACCAUUGCCAAAAACCGUCGCAUCGUCCCAACAUUUGGAACCUCCUCGUCCUGAUGUCG